GUUUGUUGUUGGAGGUAUUUAUAUCUAUCUCUGUCUCUCUUUUUCUUUGUUUUCCUUGAUUUCUUGUAAGCUUUGUUUUUCCUUCUUAUUAGACGCUUGAUGUUGGUAUUGAUCCAAGGAUGGGUGAAUUUUGUAGUUGUCAUCUUUGUUGGUACUUUCUGAUCAAUAAUUUUCAUGAUGUUUUCUUUGAAAUAUUUCCACAUGUUUUCAAUAUUACUGAAGGUCUUCUGGUUAAAAUUUUCAGCAAAUAAC
Molecule: long non-coding RNA, 252 nt
Filed under: Mytilus galloprovincialis (Mediterranean mussel)
Lineage: Eukaryota; Metazoa; Mollusca; Bivalvia; Mytilida; Mytilidae
Source: RNAcentral